CCCUAGUAUAAUAAAAAUGAUUUAUGAGUAUAUUUUGAAAAUUAAGAAUUUUGGCGGUUAAAUAAUUAUUUAGAGGAGCUUGUUUUAGUUAGAAUUUACUCUUUAUGAUUUAAAUUAAAAAAGUUUAUUUAUCUCCGUUAUAAGAUAAUUAUAAUUGAAAGUAAAUGUUAAGAUAUUUAUAAUUUCAGGUCAAGAUGUAACUUUUUUAAUAGAGAAUUAGCUACAAUUAUGUAAUAAAUGGAACUUUGUUUUUAAUAAUAUUUGUAAAAUUGAAUUUGGAUGUAAUAGAAUUUAGAAAAAUUUUAUGAAUGUAUAAAUUUAGUGUA
RNAcentral lists this ribosomal RNA (326 nucleotides) under Nesopachylus sp. MZSP 73059. Its description in RNAcentral is "partial small subunit ribosomal RNA". Lineage: Eukaryota; Metazoa; Arthropoda; Arachnida; Opiliones; Gonyleptidae. The record is from RNAcentral.